Molecule: long non-coding RNA, 2259 nt
Organism: Girardinichthys multiradiatus
Lineage: Eukaryota; Metazoa; Chordata; Actinopteri; Cyprinodontiformes; Goodeidae
Exons: 4
Source: RefSeq, a predicted model, not a curated record
GUCGAAACAGCUUCUCUCGGAACACCGUUUGCUUCUGUGGGGCCUCGAAGAGAAAAUGCUCACGUUGAGAUUCUGGAAGAAGCCAUGAAGGGGAUGCAACUUGGCCUCCUGAUAGGUUGUGAGAGUGGUGAACCAGAUGCUAUCCCACGCGAGGUCUUCGAUGUGGCAGUUGUUGUUGAAGAGACCAUUGUUCUUCACAACAUUAAAGAUGUUGUAGUUGCAUUUUCAUUGCUUAUGGGUGUCAUCUAUUGCAUGGAUCUUGAGUAUCCGUAUGCCAUGAAGUAUACAUUUGAGUUUCUUCAGAGAGUAGUUAUGAAGAUCAAACCAGACCAAGCUUCAGCCAGAGUCCAUGGACUAAGGAACAAAAUCCUGAGAGACUGGGACCAACCAGAGAGCAGAUUCUUGAAGCUAAAGAUUUGUGGUUCCUCCAUCGUGAAGUCUGGAAGCUGAGCUCACUGUAGGAUCAAGGUGGAUCUACAUCAGAGGCUGCAGGGUCUCCCCGUGAACUUUUAACUGUCUGACGCUGCCUUUAGAAGAGGACAACACUGUCUACUGUGAGGACAUCUACAGUCAUCACCAUGGCAACUUCAUUAUCGACAACAAUGGAUCACUUAAAUUUAGCUUUGUUAAAUGUAGAUGGCCUUAGAAACAACAAAAAAAAGAUUAGAAAGUUAAUUAGAGACCAUAACAUAAACGUGCUGGCUGUUUGUGAAACUAGAUUAAAUGACCAGGUAACAGAUGACCACAUUCAUAUUGAAGGUUUUAACGUUCAAAGAAAGGAUAGAAAUCACAAUGGAGGUGGUGUUGCGCUCUAUAUUCAGAAUCACUUAGAAAUGACACCCUAUAGGGAUGGCCUGGACGCUGAUGUUGAGAUCAUUUGGGUUGAGCUCAGUCUUCCCGGUACCAGACCCAUCUUAGUGGGUUGUUGUUACCGACGUCCCAUUAAACCGGUAAGCCAUUUGCAUGCAAUCUGUGACAUAAUGCAACAGGUGGCAGGGGAAAAUCAAAAAGACAUUUACUUGAUGGGCAACUUCAACAUUAACUGGAACGGAGAUUCUUCUAACAAGAGAAUAAUUCAAGAAGCAGCCCAACGAUGUGGUUUAACACAGAUUGUAACGAAAACCAGCAGGGAGGAAAAUCCAGGAUCAAUUAUCGACCAAAUCUACACAAACAUUCCAGAGUUACACGGUCAACCAGAGUCCACCAGUGUACUGCUUAUUGAUCAUAACCUCAUUACUGUCACAGUCAACCGAAACCCAAAUCUUGUAAAUGAAAACCCAACUAAUGAUCUUGCAAAUGAAAACCCAACUAAUGAUCUUGCAAAUGAAAACCCAACUAAUGAUCUUGCAAAUGAAAACCCAACUAAUGAUCUUGCAAAUGACAACCCUAAUGACGACCUUGCAGAUGUAAUGGGAAACCUAACCAUUUAUAAGCCUUGACUGUUCUUUUUAUAACCUGGCAAAAGCACCCUUUCGUUUUGAGUGUUAUUCCAUAGGAAACCAUGUGUUACGUCCACUGACCUAUAGGGGGCUCUCUUACUAGGAGAGAGUUUCUUGUUUUUGUGUCUCUUGUUUGUUUGCGGCCUGCUGUUCCUCCUCAUGAACAGAUGAAGUCAGUUCCUCCUCAUCAGUGGACUGCAUAAAAGCUUCAGUCACCCAGUGCCGCUCCUCUUCUCUUUGGACUCUGAUUUUAGUUGACUGAGAAACUCAAUUCUACGUAAUGAUUGUCUGGCAAUAAUGUUGUGAUUAAUUUUCCUGUUUUGGUGAAUUGUUGGAUGUUAGAGGUCUUGUAUUAGAUGGGAGGUUUGGUAGGGUUUCCACUAUUUUCUUUAAACUAUGUUUUCUCCUGUAUUGUGACCAGACAGGCAAUUUAAGUAUUGUACUUUUUUUUUGUUGGUUAGAUGAGACUUGCUUUUAUUUAUUAGUCAGAAGGGAUAUUUUUGUUUGUUAUUUUGUCUUUGGAGACCCUGAUGUUUAUUGCACCCUAAUUAUUUGUUAAGCUCUGUUUUUAGAAAUAAUUCAUUUUUUAACUAUGAGCAGAGUUUGUUCAGUAGUUUUAAGUUUGUUAGUUGAUGAAUUUACUUUAUUAAUUUUGUGUUAGCCCUUAUUACUCCUAGACUUCCAUGUAGGGGUUGUAACCCCAUAGCUGUCACUGUAAUGAAUCCACAUCAAAUAGUGUUGACUGUUACUGUUGUUACCAUGCCCUAAAUACACAUUUACCAUCUUUAAAGAUUUGUUUUACCUGCUGUUUUUUAACAUA